GAUGUUGGAAUGGCUCAAUCAAAUAAAAUCUCCCAAAGGAUUGGGUCUUUUAAUUUGAUUGAGCCGUGCCAAUAUC
Malus domestica (apple) is the source of this 76-nucleotide non-coding RNA. The record is from RefSeq and is marked provisional. NCBI's taxonomy places the organism in Eukaryota, Viridiplantae, Streptophyta, Magnoliopsida, Rosales, Rosaceae.